This 253-nucleotide ribosomal RNA is filed under the name uncultured bacterium. Its description in RNAcentral is "partial 16S ribosomal RNA". It matches the Rfam family "Bacterial small subunit ribosomal RNA", at positions 524 to 776 of the family's 1533-position model. The record is from RNAcentral.
UACAGAGGGGGCAAGCGUUGUUCGGAAUUACUGGGCGUAAAGGGCGCGUAGGCGGCCUGCUAAGUCGAACGUGAAAUCCCUGGGCUCAACCCAGGAACUGCGUCCGAUACUGGUUGGCUUGAAUCCGGGAGAGGGAUGUGGAAUUCCAGGUGUAGCGGUGAAAUGCGUAGAUAUCUGGAGGAACACCGGUGGCGAAGGCGACAUCCUGGACCGGUAUUGACACUGAGGCGCGAAAGCCAGGGGAGCAAACGGG